UACGGAGGGUCCGAGCGUUAUCCGGAAUUAUUGGGUUUAAAGGGUCCGUAGGCGGGCCGUUAAGUCAGGGGUGAAAUGCUGCGGCUCAACCGUAGCACUGCCUUUGAUACUGACGGUCUUGAGUUAUGGUGAAGUUGCCGGAAUAUGUGGUGUAGCGGUGAAAUGCAUAGAGAUCACAUAGAACACCGAUUGCGAAGGCA
RNAcentral lists this ribosomal RNA (200 nucleotides) under uncultured bacterium. Its description in RNAcentral is "partial 16S ribosomal RNA". It matches the Rfam family "Bacterial small subunit ribosomal RNA", at positions 524 to 723 of the family's 1533-position model. The record is from RNAcentral.